AAGCACCCCUGGCGCCCCGGCCGAGCGUUAGCGCUCGGAUAUUCUAGAUCGGUCCAUUUGGAGCGAGGCGCCGGCAGCGAGCAGUCCUGGCUCUGCAGACGUAAUUAAGUGUCACAAGCGGGGUCUCUGAACAAGAAGCUAUUAAAGAACAUGAUGAUGAACAUCGCUCGUCUGAAAGCCCCACCAAGUGGGAAGCCACCGGCCGACAAAAGAUGCACUAAGCGGGUGGUUCAAGACGAGAAUGGCCCUGAAGCGAGGAUUAACUGUACCUCGCGUAAGCGGCCGCCUUUCCUUGUCGUAGAGAACUAAAGCUCCGAGUAACGACAAUCAACUCCAUGCAGUCGGGGAUACAAUCUGUUUCUUCUAUUCUCUACUCUUCGAUUCUUCAGGAAGACAAUAAGCCUGGCCUCGACGUAGACUGUUGGGAGAGCGGGCAGGAGGGGGUGCGCCGUGCCGCCGCAGUCUGACAGGCUUCCAGAUAACAUCCGCGUCGGUGGAAGCAUCGGGAUACGAGGGGCCAGCUUGAGAUCGCCUAUUAACCUAUAAUUUAAAAAAUCUUCAAAUUUAUCUUAAUUUCUCAUGAUUUAUCUAUCUCAUCCUUUUUCAAAGAACAGCGGUCCCGACUCAGAUUUGAUUGUCCUAGGAAAGAAAUUAGGAUUAGACUUUAUCUUCCGGAUUUGUCGUUGUAAGGUUAUGAUUGUAAAUGGGAGUGUUCGGGUAAGCAGCUGUCACGCAUCGAGUUAACAUCUCUCGAAGUUUAGCGACGUCGCCGUGACAGAAGCCAGCUCGGAGGCUCUCAUUGGUCGGCUAACGUCGACUAAUUGACAAUAUAAUGGCAACGGCAUUUCCAAAAGGACUCUCAACGUUGGUUAAGUAGGCGAUGUCCUGUACCGGGAGGACAAAGCCUAAUAAUGUAAAACAGGACGUUUAGGGUUCUUCUCAUUUUUCUGAGCUUUGUGACACAAAGUAAUUACAUGGAGUAGUGAAAAAA
This is a long non-coding RNA of Trichoplusia ni (cabbage looper), 991 nucleotides long. RefSeq lists it as uncharacterized. Lineage: Eukaryota; Metazoa; Arthropoda; Insecta; Lepidoptera; Noctuidae. The record is from RefSeq and is a predicted model, not a curated record. The transcript is spliced from 2 exons.